UAGGGGUUGUGAUGUAGCUAGGUGGUUGUAUUAGGGGUUGUAAUGUAGCUAGGUGGUUGUAUUAGGGGUUGUAAUGUAGCUAUGUGGUUGUAUUAGGGGUUGUGGUGGUGUAGCUAGGUGGUUAUAUUAGGGGUUGUGGUGUAGCUAGGUGGUUGUAUUAGGGGUUGUGGUGUAGCUAGGUUGUUAUAUUAGGGGUUGUGAUGUAGCUAGGUGGUUGUAUUAGGGGUUGUGAUGUAGCUAGGUGGUUGUAUUAGGGGUUGUGAUAUAGCUAGGUGGUUGUAUUAGGGGUUGUGAUGUAGCUAGGUGGUUGUAUUAGGGGUUGUGGUGUAGCUAGGUGGUUGUAUUAGGGGUUGUGGUAUAGCUAGGUGUUUGUAUUAGGGGUUGUGAUGUAGCUAGCUGGUUGUAUUAGGGGUUGUGAUGUAGCUAGGUGGUUGUAUUAGGGGUUGUGAUGUAGCUAGGUGGUUGUAUUAGGGGUAGUGAUGUAGCUAGGUGGUUGUAUUAGGGGCUGGUAGUGAUGUAGCUAGGUGGUUGUAUUAGGGGCUGGUAGUGAUGUAGCUAGGUGGUUGUAUUAGGGGUUGUGGUGUAGCUAGGUGGUUGUAUUAGUGGUUGUGAUGUAGCUAGGUGGUUGUAUUAGGGGUAGUGAUGUAGCUAGGUGGUUGUAUUAGGGGUAGUGAUGUAGCUAGGUGGUUGUAUUAGGGGUUGUGAUGUAGCUAGGUGGUUGUAUUAGGGGUUGUGAUGUAGCUAGGUGGUUAUAUUAGGGGUUGUGGUGAUGUAGCUAGGUGGUUGUAUUAAGGGUUGUGGUGUAGCUAGGUGGUUGUAUUAGGGGUUGUGAUGUAGCUAGGUGGUUAUAUUAGGGGUUGUGAUGUAGCUAGGUGGUUGUAUUAGGGGUUGUGGUGUAGCUAGGUGGUUGUAUUAGGGGUUGUGGUGUAGCUAGGUGGUUGUAUUAGGGGCUGGUAGUGAUGUAGCUAGGUGGUUGUAUUAGGGGUUGUGAUGUAGCUAGGUGGUUGUAUUAGGGGUUGUGGUGUAGCUAGGUGGUUGUAUUAGGGGUUGUGAUGUAGCUAGGUGGUUGUAUUAGGGGUUGUGAUGUAGCUAGGUGGUUGUAUUAGGGGUUGUGGUGUAGCUAGGUGGUUAUAUUAGGGGCAGGUCGUGUGUGUACAUGCGAGCAUUAUCAGUCCGGCCGUGGUGGAGGAUACGGGGGCCGGUUCUGGUGGGCCGGUCUGGAUCAAAGUCCAGGGCCAUUCCGCCCCUGCUCUGAGACACUUUGUGGAUACGGGCCCUGAAGAGAUAAGCUUUGUGUUAGCAUUAAGCACAAUAGUGAUGGAUCCACCUAUUCAUCCUAUGUUCUUAGGGAAGGCAGCCAUAUUGUAGACCUAUCAGAGUUUUGAAUUAAAAG
This 1393-nucleotide long non-coding RNA is filed under the name Salmo salar (Atlantic salmon). Its description in RNAcentral is "lncRNA (ENSSSAG00000084636.1)". Lineage: Eukaryota; Metazoa; Chordata; Actinopteri; Salmoniformes; Salmonidae. The record is from RNAcentral.